This is a long non-coding RNA of Lontra canadensis (Northern American river otter), 494 nucleotides long. RefSeq lists it as uncharacterized. The transcript has 3 exons. NCBI's taxonomy places the organism in Eukaryota, Metazoa, Chordata, Mammalia, Carnivora, Mustelidae. The record is from RefSeq and is a predicted model, not a curated record.
AAAGACCAGGUCUCAGUCUGUCCACAUUUUACUGCUCAGAACUCCGUCAUUGACCCCAUCUGCAAAGGCUUCUGGGAAUUGUGGUAUUCCUAUCUACCCAACCGAUGGAGAGUAAGAGGCAUAAAUCUCUCCCUCAUUGGACUCCGUGGCCCCCCAGUCUCUGUUUUGCAUUAGACACUGCUCAGCCCCUGGGGGGCGACUCUCUGGAGUUUGGGACUCACCCCUCCCAUGCCACCACCCCCAGAGAGGAGCUGACUGCAGAAAGAUUCACUCCCUAGCAACAUUUACUGUGCCUUGGGUGCAUGGUACCAAGGGCCCCAUCACCCUCGGUGUUCAAGGGGACUCAUCCUGGAGGAGCAAAGCCCACGGUAGCCUGAUGCUGCCCUUGUGACAUUUGUCCCUCUGCAGGUUCAAGCCUUCAAAGCACAGAGAAGCUGAGUGGCCCCUCUGAGGUCACACAGCCCACUGGAGGCCAAGGUGGGUGGAGAGCCCAG